RNAcentral lists this small RNA (903 nucleotides) under Pongo abelii (Sumatran orangutan). RNAcentral describes it as "retained intron". The record is from RNAcentral. Lineage: Eukaryota; Metazoa; Chordata; Mammalia; Primates; Hominidae.
AUUACAGAGUCCCUGUGUCUGCCACAGGUUUCCUAGGAGAGGCGUCAUUGCAACAGGCCUAGGAGGGGACUGGCUUGGGAAAAAAAGAAGAAGAAUAUUGUGUGUGAUAUGCAGGAACUGAGAAAUAGGCUCAAACUUUGGAACAAAUACCGAAUUUCCAACAUUCCGUCACUCAUAUUCCUCGACGCCACCACCGGGAAGGUUGUGUGCAGGAAUGGGCUGCUGGUGAUCCGAGAUGACCCAGAAGGUCUGGAGUUCCCCUGGGGACCGAAACCCUUCAGGGAAGUCAUUGCAGGGCCCUUGCUUAGAAACAACGGGCAGUCGCUGGAGAGCAGCAGCCUGGAGGGGUCUCACGUGGGCGUCUAUUUCUCUGCACAUUGGUGUCCGCCCUGCCGAAGCCUCACCCGGGUCCUGGUGGAAUCCUACCGGAAGAUCAAGGAGGCAGGCCAGAACUUUGAGAUCAUCUUCGUUAGUGCAGACAGGUCAGAGGAGUCCUUCAAACAGUACUUCAGUGAGAUGCCCUGGCUCGCCGUCCCCUACACUGACGAGGCCCGGCGGUCGCGCCUCAACCGGCUGUACGGAAUCCAAGGUAGGCGCUCCAGGCCCCGGCUCUGUGCAGCUCCUGAAAAGCUGCUCACCUGAGCUCAUCGUGUCUUUGGCUUUCCUUUAAGAAGAAGAGCAUCAUUAUUUCCAUGAAUAUUCAUGUUUCUCAGCAGUGUAGAAUUUUCAUGGUGUGAAUUCUAAGCCAUUUUUAAAAAAUAAGUAUUGUCAGGCCGGGCACAACAGCUCACACUGUAACCCCAGCACUUUGGGAGGCUGAGGCAGGCAGAUGACCUGAGGUCAGGAGUUCGAGACAAGUUUGGACAACACAGUGAAACCUGGUCUCUACUAAAAAUACAAAAA